Molecule: ribosomal RNA, 229 nt
Filed under: uncultured bacterium
Lineage: Bacteria
Description: partial 16S ribosomal RNA
Rfam family: Bacterial small subunit ribosomal RNA
Source: RNAcentral
UGCGUAGGCGGGCUAAUAAGUCAGUGGUGAAAUCUCUCGGCUCAACCGGGAAACUGCCAUUGAUACUGUUAGUCUUGAGUUCGGUUGAGGUAGGCGGAAUGUGUAAUGUAGCGGUGAAAUGCUUAGAUAUUACACAGAACACCAAUUGCGUAGGCAGCUUACUAGACCGACACUGACGCUGAGGCACGAAAGCGUGGGGAGCGAACAGGAUUAGCUACCCUGGUAGUCC